RNAcentral lists this long non-coding RNA (699 nucleotides) under Rattus norvegicus (Norway rat). RNAcentral describes it as "long non-coding RNA NONRATT012601". Lineage: Eukaryota; Metazoa; Chordata; Mammalia; Rodentia; Muridae. The record is from RNAcentral.
UAGAAUUUAUAUUUACUUUAUUAGCAAUGUGGCGUCCAUGUUUUCAAGUAAAAAGGGUUUUUUCCAUUUAGAAUAAAAAUUAAAAUAUAACUCUGAUAUAUAUUUUCCUUUAUGUACAUGGAAACAUAUAUACAGAAUACAAUUUUACAGCAAACUGAGAGAGCAUGCCCUUUGCCCCUUUAAACUUUAAACCUAAAGACACGGAUUUGUUUUUUGUUUUUCUUUUAUGCGCCAAUGCACAAGGUAUGAACCAAAUUUCAAUACAAACUUUUCAAAAUGGAACAUGAGGGGUAAAGGGCUCCUGCCAUCACUGACUAGGGUUCUCUCUGCUCACGGGGAUGAUGUUAGCUUGCAUUCUGAAUGACAGGUCAGAUGUUCACUUUUUCUUUAAUUGAAAUUAAAAAAAAAAACCCUUCUCACAGUUUUCAUAAUAAAACGACUUUUUUAAAGCAAAAGAUUGUUCUAGAACUUUUUUUCUCGAGGGCUUCUCUUUGUCCCACCCAAAGCACUGCACUGCCUGGGUUCCGUGAUAUGGCCUACAUCUCCCUGGUACUGAGUCUUAGUCAUCAGAAGAAACCUGAACAAGGAUGUGUACAGUUCAGAAAACCGAAGCGUUAUUCACUGUUUCAACCACAAAAAGCCCAAGGAGAGGGGGCAGGAGAGCAGCCAUGAACUUCCAGCAAAUUAAAUGGGUCACAA